UGUUUCCGUUCAAAUCUGCCUUUUAAAACCCACAGAUAAUGAACUAAAUGGCUUUCCAUACCAGCGAGGCUACGUAACUCAGCGUCAGCGUCGGUGACGCAGAGAAUGAGGAGAGAGUUUUCGUCCAGUUUUUGUCAAAUUUAGCCAUAAAAAGUAGAGAAGCGACGCAGCAAAGACAGAAAUCAGUCACGACGAUCCAAUAAAAUGAAUAAAUGAAGAACAUUAACUGUGAAAAAGUAUUAAUACUACCUUAUUGGAGGGGCGGGGCGGUAAUGGUAGAUGACCAUAUAAGGACUUCCUUUGGAUCAGCGCGGAGCUCUGGCAAACAUUGAUCCACAGAAGAGGCUUUCUCCAACAGAAAUGAUCCAUUUGAAGCCGAUGAUUCAGAGCUGCUCCUAGAAAGCAGAAACCUGCCUGCAGCAAGAAUAACAAGAGAUGCUGAUAAUAAGUCAAUAAUUCAGAUAUCAAAUGUAAACACUUUGUGUUUUUGUUUUUUAAUAAAUGUUUAGUUUGGAAUAAA
This is a long non-coding RNA of Girardinichthys multiradiatus, 520 nucleotides long. RefSeq lists it as uncharacterized. The transcript has 2 exons. Lineage: Eukaryota; Metazoa; Chordata; Actinopteri; Cyprinodontiformes; Goodeidae. The record is from RefSeq and is a predicted model, not a curated record.